This 363-nucleotide transfer-messenger RNA is filed under the name Thermoguttaceae bacterium. It matches the Rfam family "transfer-messenger RNA". From Rfam's summary of the family: Bacterial tmRNA, also known as 10Sa RNA or SsrA, is named for its dual tRNA and mRNA-like properties. Its role is to liberate the mRNA from a stalled ribosome. The record is from RNAcentral. Lineage: Bacteria; Pseudomonadati; Planctomycetota; Planctomycetia; Pirellulales; Thermoguttaceae.
GGGGGCGAACUGGGUUCGACCGGGCGAGCGAAGCUUGGAUUGCGCGUCGAGGUUGAUCGGUUGGCCUCGUUAAAAGCCGAUUGAAAAUUUCAAUUGCCAAUAACCAAAUGGCUAUGGCCGCCUAAGAACAGGCGUCCCUGGAUUUGAGCUUUAGCCGAAGAGGCGAAAAAUCCGGUCGUUAAAUUCGGAUCGUCUUGCGCCGCGUCGAACACGCGCGAGAUUAAAUUUUGCUUUCGAAUCGUUUCUGCGAAACCGUCGUCGAUAAGGGUUCAAGGGAACUAAAACUUAAAGAAUCGACUACACGCGUAGACGUUCCUGUAUAGACGUCGCGGGACGCGGGUUCAAUUCCCGCCGCCUCCACUA